This 433-nucleotide ribosomal RNA is filed under the name uncultured bacterium. Its description in RNAcentral is "partial 16S ribosomal RNA". It matches the Rfam family "Bacterial small subunit ribosomal RNA", at positions 29 to 507 of the family's 1533-position model. The record is from RNAcentral.
AACGAACGCUGGCGGCAGGCCUAACACAUGCAAGUCGAGCGAGGACUUCGGUCCUAGCGGCGGACGGGUGAGUAACGCGUGGGAACGUGCCCUUUGCUUCGGAAUAGCCCUGGGAAACUGGGAGUAAUACCGGAUGAGCCCUUUGGGGGAAAGAUUUAUCGGCGAAGGAUCGGCCCGCGUUGGAUUAGGUAGUUGGUGGGGUAAUGGCCUACCAAGCCGACGAUCCAUAGCUGGUUUGAGAGGAUGAUCAGCCACACUGGGACUGAGACACGGCCCAGACUCCUACGGGAGGAAGCAGUGGGGAAUCUUAGACAAUGGGGGAAACCCUGAUCUAGCCAUGCCGCGUGAGCGAUGAAGGCCUUAGGGUUGUAAAGCUCUUUCAGCUGGGAAGAUAAUGACGGUACCAGCAGAAGAAGCCCCGGCUAACUCCGUG